UUUCCGUAGGUGAACCUGCGGAAGGAUCAUUAGUGAAUAAUAGGACGUCUUUUCUUCGGAGGAGAGUCCGACCUCUCACUUUCUAACACUGUGCACUUAGAUAUUUGGGAAUCAAGCUUUGAAUAGAAUUUUUGUUCUAUUUCUAUAGCUCCCAAUUACUUUUUAUAACUCUACAAGUUAAAGAAUGUAAUGAUAAACCAUAACAAAAGAAAAACUUUCAACAACGGAUCUCUUGGCUCUC
RNAcentral lists this unclassified non-coding RNA (241 nucleotides) under plant metagenome. RNAcentral's name for it is "partial contains small subunit ribosomal RNA, internal transcribed spacer 1, and 5.8S ribosomal RNA". The record is from RNAcentral.